RNAcentral lists this ribosomal RNA (75 nucleotides) under Streptococcus pneumoniae. Lineage: Bacteria; Bacillati; Bacillota; Bacilli; Lactobacillales; Streptococcaceae. The record is from RNAcentral. RNAcentral also lists the same sequence under 2 other names.
GGUUGCGGCCAUAUCUACCAGAAAGCACCGUUUCCCGUCCGAUCAACUGUAGUUAAGCUGGUAAGAGCCUGACCG